RNAcentral lists this ribosomal RNA (436 nucleotides) under uncultured bacterium. RNAcentral's name for it is "partial 16S ribosomal RNA". It matches the Rfam family "Bacterial small subunit ribosomal RNA", at positions 29 to 507 of the family's 1533-position model. The record is from RNAcentral.
GCGAACGCUGGCGGCAGGCUUAACACAUGCAAGUCGAGCGGGCAUCCUUGUGGUGUCAGCGGCAGACGGGUGAGUAACGCGUGGGAACGUGCCCUUCGGUUCGGAAUAACUCAGGGAAACUUGAGCUAAUACCGGAUACGUGCGAGAGCAGAAAGGUUUAUCUGCCGAAGGAUCGGCCCGCGUCUGAUUAGCUAGUUGGUGAGGUUACGGCUCACCAAGGCGACGAUCAGUAGCUGGUCUGAGAGGAUGAUCAGCCACACUGGGACUGAGACACGGCCCAGACUCCUACGGGAGGCAGCAGUGGGGAAUAUUGGACAAUGGGGGCAACCCUGAUCCAGCCAUGCCGCGUGAGUGAUGACGGCCUUAGGGUUGUAAAGCUCUUUUCUCCGGGACGAUAAUGACGGUACCGGAGGAAUAAGCCCCGGCUAACUUCGUG